AACUUUCAACAAUGGAUCACUUGGCUCUCGCAUCGAUGAAGAACGCAGCGAAAUGCGAUAAGUAAUGUGAAUUGCAGAAUUCAGUCAAUCAUCGAAUCUUUGAACGCACCUUGCGCCCUUUGGCUAUUCCGAAGGGCAUGCCUGUUUGAGUAUCAUGAACACCUCAACUCUCAUGGCUUGCCAUGAUGAGCUUGGACUCUGGGGGUCUUGCUGGCUCAUGGUCAGCUCCUCUUCAAUGGAUCAGCCUUCCAGUGUUUGGUGGCAUCACAAGUGUGAUAACUAUCUACGCGUGUGGUGUAUUCCCAGGUAACCUUAAGUGAUGUAGGUCGCUGGAGCUAAUAAAGGCACAUCUCUCAUUGUAGAGAUGGCCUUUUAGAUGUUUGAUCUCAAAUCAGGUAGGACUACCCGCUGAACUUAAGCAUAUCAAUAAGCGGAGGCU
RNAcentral lists this unclassified non-coding RNA (439 nucleotides) under uncultured Thelephoraceae. RNAcentral's name for it is "sequence contains ITS2". The stretch from base 1 to 155 matches the Rfam family "5.8S ribosomal RNA". Lineage: Eukaryota; Fungi; Basidiomycota; Agaricomycetes; Thelephorales; Thelephoraceae. The record is from RNAcentral.